UCGAGGGGUAACGGGGAGUGCUUGCACUCUGCCGACGACCGGCGCACGGGUGCGCACCGCGUAUGGAACCUACCUUUUACAGGGGGAUAGCCCAGGGAAACUUGGAUUAAUACCCCGUAGACUUAGUUGCGGCAUUGCAAUUAAGUUAAAGGUUUCGACCGGCAAGAGAUGAUCAUGCGUCCCAUUAGCUUGAUGGUAAGGUAACGGCUUACCAUGGCUACGAUGGGUAGGGGCCCUGAGAGGGGGAUCCCCCACACUGGUACUGAGACACGGACCAGACUCCUACGGGAGGCAGCAGUGAGGAAUAUUGGACAAUGGGCGAGAGCCUGAUCCAGCCAUGCCGCGUGCAGGAAGACGGCCCUAUGGGUUGUAAACUGCUUUUAUACAGGAAGAAAAAGGGGUACGUGUACCCUACUGACGGUACUGUAAGAAUAAGGACCGGCUAACUCCGUGCCAGCAGCCGCGGUAAUACGGAGGGUCCGAGCGUUAUCCGGAAUUAUUGGGUUUAAAGGGUCCGUAGGCGGGCCAUUAAGUCAGUGGUGAAAGUUUGCAGCUCAACUGUAAAAUUGCCUUUGAUACUGAUGGUCUUGAGUUAUGGUGAAGUUGCCGGAAUAUGUAGUGUAGCGGUGAAAUGCAUAGAUAUUACAUAGAACACCGAUUGCGAAGGCAGGUGACUAACCAUAUACUGACGCUGAUGGACGAAAGCGUGGGGAGCGAACAGGAUUAGAUACCCUGGUAGUCCACGCCGUAAACGAUGGAUACUAGCUGUCCGCUGCCUUGAGCAGUGGGCGGCCAAGCGAAAGUGAUAAGUAUCCCACCUGGGGAGUACGUUCGCAAGAAUGAAACUCAAAGGAAUUGACGGGGGCCCGCACAAGCGGUGGAGCAUGUGGUUUAAUUCGAUGAUACGCGAGGAACCUUACCAGGGCUUAAAUGUAGAUUGACAGGGCUAGAGAUAGCUUUUCCUUCGGGCAAUUUACAAGGUGCUGCAUGGUUGUCGUCAGCUCGUGCCGUGAGGUGUCAGGUUAAGUCCUAUAACGAGCGCAACCCCUGCCGUUAGUUGCCAGCAUGUAAAGAUGGGGACUCUAACGGGACUGCCGGUGCAAACCGUGAGGAAGGUGGGGAUGACGUCAAAUCAUCACGGCCCUUACGUCCUGGGCCACACACGUGCUACAAUGGCCGGUACAGAGAGCAGCCAUGUUGCAAGACAGAGCGAAUCUAUAAAACCGGUCACAGUUCGGAUCGGGGUCUGCAACUCGACCCCGUGAAGCUGGAAUCGCUAGUAAUCGGAUAUCAGCCAUGAUCCGGUGAAUACGUUCCCGGGCCUUGUACACACC
RNAcentral lists this ribosomal RNA (1334 nucleotides) under uncultured prokaryote. RNAcentral's name for it is "partial 16S ribosomal RNA". It matches the Rfam family "Bacterial small subunit ribosomal RNA", at positions 62 to 1391 of the family's 1533-position model. The record is from RNAcentral.